ACUGAGCAGCGACGCCGCGUGAGGGAUGACGGCCUUCGGGUUGUAAACCUCUUUCAGCAGGGACGAAGCGAAAGUGACGGUACCUGCAGAAGAAGCACCGGCUAACUACGUGCCAGCAGCCGCGGUAAUACGUAGGGUGCGGGCGUUGCCCGGAAUUAUUGGGCGUAAAGAGCUCGUAGGCGGUUUGUCGCGUCGGCCGUGAAAACUUGGGGCUUAACCCCGAGC
Molecule: ribosomal RNA, 225 nt
Filed under: uncultured actinomycete
Lineage: Bacteria; Bacillati; Actinomycetota; Actinomycetes; Actinomycetales
Description: partial 16S ribosomal RNA
Rfam family: Bacterial small subunit ribosomal RNA
Source: RNAcentral